Molecule: ribosomal RNA, 746 nt
Filed under: uncultured Rubrobacteria bacterium
Lineage: Bacteria; Bacillati; Actinomycetota; Rubrobacteria
Description: bacterial SSU rRNA
Rfam family: Bacterial small subunit ribosomal RNA
Source: RNAcentral
UGCAGUCGAGCGAGAACCAGGCCUUCGGGCCUGGGGACAGCGGCGAACGGGUGAGUAACACGUGGGUAAUCAACCCUCGGCACUGGGAUAGCCCGGGGAAACCCGGAUUAAUACCGGAUGGCCCUUCGGAUCCUCGGAUCCGCAGGAAAAGGUAGCUUCGGCCUCCGGCCGAGGACGAGCCCGCGGCGGAUUAGCUUGUUGGUGGGGUAACGGCCUACCAAGGCGACGAUCCGUAGCUGGUCUGAGAGGACGAUCAGCCACACUGGGACUGAGACACGGCCCAGACUCCUACGGGAGGCAGCAGUGGGGAAUCUUGCGCUAAUGCGGGAAACCGUGACGCAGCGACGCCGCGUGAGGGAAGAAGGCCUUCGGGUUGUAAACCUCUUUCAGGAGGGACGAAGCCACUCGGGUUAAUAGCCCAGAGGGUGACGGUACCUCCAGAAGAAGCCCCGGCUAACUACGUGCCAGCAGCCGCGGUAAUACGUAGGGGGCGAGCGUUGUCCGGAUUUAUUGGGCGUAAAGAGCGUGUAGGCGGCUUUGCAGGUCCGUUGUGAAAACUCGAGGCUCAACCUCGAGACGCCGGUGGAAACCGCAAAGCUAGAGUCCGGAAGAGGAGAGUGGAAUUCCUGGUGUAGCGGUGAAAUGCGCAGAUAUCAGGAAGAACACCCGUGGCGAAGGCGGCUCUCUGGGACGGUACUGACGCUGAGACGCGAAAGCGUGGGGAGCGAACAGGAUUAGAUACCCUG